Molecule: ribosomal RNA, 120 nt
Filed under: Pteropus alecto (black flying fox)
Lineage: Eukaryota; Metazoa; Chordata; Mammalia; Chiroptera; Pteropodidae
Source: RNAcentral
GUCUACGGCCAUGCCACCCUGAAAAAAGCCUUAUCCCAUCUGAUCUUGGAAGCUAAACAGGGUCAGGCUUGGUUAGUACUUGAAUGGGAGACCACCUAGGAAGACCAGGUGCUGUAGGCA